UGCAAGUCGAGCGCGCCUUCGGGUGAGCGGCGGACGGGUUAGUAACGCGUGGGAACGUGCCCUUCUCUACGGAAUAGCCUCUGGAAACGGAGAGUAAUACCGUAUACGCCCUUUGGGGGAAAGAUUUAUCGGAGAAGGAUCGGCCCGCGUUAGAUUAGGUAGUUGGUGGGGUAACGGCCUACCAAGCCUACGAUCUAUAGCUGGUUUUAGAGGAUGAUCAGCAACACUGGGACUGAGACACGGCCCAGACUCCUACGGGAGGCAGCAGUGGGGAAUCUUAGACAAUGGGGGCAACCCUGAUCUAGCCAUGCCGCGUGAGUGAUGAAGGCCUUAGGGUCGUAAAGCUCUUUCGCCUGUGAUGAUAAUGACAGUAGCAGGUAAAGAAACCCCGGCUAACUCCGUGCCAGCAGCCGCGGUAAUACGGAGGGGGUUAGCGUUGUUCGGAAUUACUGGGCGUAAAGCGCGCGUAGGCGGAUUAGAAAGUUGGGGGUGAAAUCCCGGGGCUCAACCUCGGAACUGCCUCCAAAACUGCUAGUCUAGAGUUCGAGAGAGGUGAGUGGAAUUCCGAGUGUAGAGGUGAAAUUCGU
This 587-nucleotide ribosomal RNA is filed under the name uncultured bacterium. Its description in RNAcentral is "bacterial SSU rRNA". It matches the Rfam family "Bacterial small subunit ribosomal RNA", at positions 56 to 691 of the family's 1533-position model. The record is from RNAcentral.